Molecule: long non-coding RNA, 1167 nt
Filed under: Gossypium barbadense (sea-island cotton)
Lineage: Eukaryota; Viridiplantae; Streptophyta; Magnoliopsida; Malvales; Malvaceae
Description: long non-coding RNA (GBAR_LNC006568)
Source: RNAcentral
UCACAACUUUUCAUUUCUUCUUUCACUUAGUCAGGAGCUUUUGGCCAAAAACUCUCCACUGCUUGGCGAACUGAAUCUGGAAUUCCUCCCAUCAAGUAAAAGCUUUCUCUUCUCUUAAGGGCCUCCUUUGCUAUAACAUGAGCGUAGACAUUCUCUGCCUUAGGGAUAAAAUGAAAGUCGAUCUCCUGGAAUCUAUCUUUUUUGCUUUGUAUGUCUCUGAUAAUUGCUCCAAUGACAGAUUUGUCUGUAUCACUUCUUUGGCAUUUCUUAAUGAUAGUUUUCGAAUCUCCCACUACUUCUAUUUUGUUUAACCCCAUAGAAAUCCCUAAUUUUAUUGCCUGUAAUCCUGCAUAUGAUUCUGCCGUGAACGAAGUUGCUAUCUCGGAGUGCAUGACUGCCUUCGAUGCGAGGAUCUCCCCCUCCUCGUUCAGUACAAGCAAACCCGUAGUCGAUCUGGACGAUAGUCGGUCGAAGGUUGCGUCAAAAUAAACUGUGAUCUUUCCCCUUCUACAUAUCUGUUGAGUAUUUUCAGCUGGUUGAAGAGUAAAUCUUGUCUCCUCUAUUGCAUCCAGUUCUACCAUAUAGUUCCGAGUUUGUCUUGCUAUUUCGAUUCCUGUCAUAUGUCUUCUUUCAUAUAAUAACUUAUUUUUGCUGAACCAGAUUAACCAAAGACCAUAACAAAAGAGCCAGAUCUGCUCAUCUGUUCCUUUAUCAUAGACCCAGGUAAGCCAUUGCCAUAUAUUCAGAUUAUUAUGGCUGAAAACCUAUGCUAGUCUUAACUGAUUCCAAACUUCAAUUGUAAAUGGACAUUGUUGAAAAAUAUGAGUGUUGUCCUUAUCUCCUUGGCGACAUCUAGGACAUUGGGCAUCCACCACAACCCUCUUGAGCCUAAGGUUGACAAGAGACGGAAUGAAGUUCCAAGAUAUUCUCCAAACUGUAAUUUGAAUUUUUGAGGGGAUGUAUAAUUUCCAUAGUUUUCUGUAGAAAUUUUUAAUUUCGGUCUGUCAAAUAAUAGUAUUAGGAUCCAAGCAAAUUUCAUGUAAUAGUUUGUAGGCACUCCUAACGGAGAACUCCCCUGUCAACUCCCCUUUCCAUACUUGAAAAUCUUCGUGUGCUGUCUUCGCUAGCGGGAUCUUCAGAGUUUUUUCCGCUACAUCCAUUUGGAAG